UGCCAGCCGCCGCGGUAAUACAGAGGGUGCAAACGUUGUUCGGAAUUACUGGGCGUAAAGCGCGUGUAGGCGGUUCGUUAAGUCGGUAGUGAAAGCCCAUGGCUCAACCAUGGAAGUGCUGCCGAUACUGGCGGGCUGGAGUCCUGGAGAGGGUGGCGGAAUUCCCAGUGUAGAGGUGAAAUUCGUAGAUAUUGGGAGGAACACCGGUGGCGAAGGCGGCCACCUGGACGGGUACUGACGCUGAGACGCGAAAGCGUGGGGAGCAAACAGGAUUAGAUA
Molecule: ribosomal RNA, 279 nt
Filed under: uncultured bacterium
Lineage: Bacteria
Description: partial 16S ribosomal RNA
Rfam family: Bacterial small subunit ribosomal RNA
Source: RNAcentral